UUAAGUGAAUAAGGGCGCACGGAGGAUGCCUUGGCACUAGGAGUCGAAGAAGGACGCGACAAACGGCGAAACGCCUCGGGGAGCUGUAAGUGAGCAUUGAUCCGGGGGUAUCCGAAUGGGGAAACCCGCUAGUGGUUAUACGCUAGCACCAUAUGGUGAAUACAUAGCCAUAUAGGAGACAGACCCAGGGAACUGAAACAUCUAAGUACCUGGAGGAAAAGAAAGAAAAAUCGAUUCCCGUAGUAGCGGCGAGCGAAGUGGGAAGAGCCCAAACCGGAUUUAUCCGGGGUUGUAGGACCUUCAUAAUUGACAAAUCAUGAUAGCCGAAUGGUCUGGGAAGGCCAACCGUAGGGGGUGAGAGUCCCGUAGGUGAAAUUGUGAGAUGCAUGGAAGGAAUCCUGAGUACGGCGGGACACGUGGAAUCCCGUCGGAAUCAACGAGGACCAUCUCGUAAGGCUAAAUACUACCUAGUGACCGAUAGUGAACCAGUACCGUGAGGGAAAGGUGAAAAGAACCCCGGGAGGGGAGUGAAAGAGAACCUGAAACCGUGUGCCUACAAAUAGUCAGAGCCCGUUAAUGGGUGAUGGCGUGCCUUUUGUAGAAUGAACCGGCGAGUUACGAUAUCGUGCGAGGUUAAGCAGAAGAUGCGGAGCCGUAGCGAAAGCGAGUCUGAAUAGGGCGAAGAGUACGAUGUUGUAGACCCGAAACCGUGUGAGCUAGCCAUGAGCAGGCUGAAGGUCAGGUAACACUGACUGGAGGGCCGAACCAGGGCACGUUGAAAAGUGCUUGGAUGACUUGUGGCUAGGGGUGAAAUUCCAAUCGAACACGGAUAUAGCUGGUUCUCUCCGAAAUAGCUUUAGGGCUAGCCUCGAUGUUAAGUCUACUGGAGGUAGAGCACUGAAUGGGUGAUGGCCCCACCUCGGGGUACUGAUCUCAAUCAAACUCCGAAUGCCAGAUAGAUAUAAUCGGGAGUCAGACUGUGGGUGAUAAGGUCCAUGGUCAAAAGGGAAAGAGCCCAGACCGCCAGCUAAGGCCCCCAAGUGUCCGUUAAGUGGAAAAGGAUGUGGAGAUGCACAGACAACUAGGAGGUUGGCUUAGAAGCAGCCAUCCUUUAAAGAGUGCGUAAUAGCUCACUAGUCGAGUGACUCUGCGCCGAAAAUGUACCGGGGCUAAACGGACCGCCGAAGCUGCGGAUUGACUUUAGAGUCAGUGGUAGGAGAGCGUUCUAACAGCGGUGAAGCAGUACCGGAAGGAGCUGUGGAGCGGUUAGAAGUGAGAAUGCCGGUGUGAGUAGCGAAAGAUAGGUGAGAAUCCUAUCCAUCGAAAGCCUAAGGUUUCCAGGGGAAGGCUCGUCCGCCCUGGGUAAGUCGGGACCUAAGGUGAGGCCGAAAGGCGUAGCCGAUGGACAACAGGUUGAUAUUCCUGUACCACUUAUUAAACUGAUGGAGUGACGGAGAAGGCUAAGUUGAGCGUGUGAUUGGAUUCACGUGUAAGCAGUGAGGUGGUCAUGUAGGCAAAUCCGCAUGGCAUAACAUUGAGCUGUGAUGCCGAAGCCGACUGGCGAAGUCAACUGACGUCACGCUUCCAAGAAAAGCUUCUAGGGUUAAUUUAAUAAGUGCCCGUACCGAUAACCGACACAGGUAGGCGAGGAGAGAAUCCUAAGAUGAGCGAGAGAACUCUUGUUAAGGAACUCGGCAAAAUGACCCCGUAACUUCGGGAGAAGGGGUGCUUGUGAAAGCAAGCCGCAGUGAAUAGGCCCAGGCGACUGUUUAUCAAAAACACAGGUCUCUGCUAAACCGCAAGGUGAUGUAUAGGGGCUGACGCCUGCCCGGUGCUGGAAGGUUAAGAGGAGAGGUUAGCGCAAGCGAAGCUUUGAAUUGAAGCCCCAGUAAACGGCGGCCGUAACUAUAACGGUCCUAAGGUAGCGAAAUUCCUUGUCGGG
This 1942-nucleotide ribosomal RNA is filed under the name human gut metagenome. RNAcentral's name for it is "bacterial LSU rRNA". It matches the Rfam family "Bacterial large subunit ribosomal RNA", at positions 1 to 1976 of the family's 2925-position model. The record is from RNAcentral.